AUUGAACGCUGGCGGCAGGCCUAACACAUGCAAGUCGAACGGCAGCACAGAGAGCUUGCUCUCGGGUGACGAGUGGCGGACGGGUGAGUAACGUCUGGGAAACUGCCCGAUGGAGGGGGAUAACUACUGGAGACGGUAGCUAAUACCGCAUAACGUCGCAAGACCAACGUGGGGGACCUUCGGGCCUCACACCAUCGGAUGUGCCCAGAUGGGAUUAGCUAGUAGGUGGGGUAAUGGCUAACCUAGGCGACGAUCCCUAGCGGGUCUGAGAGGAUGACCAGCCACGCUGGACCUGAGACACUGUCCAGACUCCUACGAGAGGCAGCAGUGGGGAAUAUUGCACGAGGGGCGCAAGGCUGAUGCAGCCAUGCCGCGUGUAUGAAGAAGGCCGUCGGGUUGUAAAGUACUUUCAGCGGGGAGGAAGGCGGUGAAGUUAAUAGCUUCACCGAUUGACGUUACCCGCAGAAGAAGCACCGGCUAACUCCGUGCCAGCCGCCGCGGUAA
RNAcentral lists this ribosomal RNA (504 nucleotides) under uncultured bacterium. RNAcentral's name for it is "partial 16S ribosomal RNA". It matches the Rfam family "Bacterial small subunit ribosomal RNA", at positions 29 to 523 of the family's 1533-position model. The record is from RNAcentral.